This 366-nucleotide ribosomal RNA is filed under the name Micrococcus sp. oral taxon F54. RNAcentral's name for it is "bacterial SSU rRNA". It matches the Rfam family "Bacterial small subunit ribosomal RNA", at positions 28 to 393 of the family's 1533-position model. The record is from RNAcentral. Lineage: Bacteria; Bacillati; Actinomycetota; Actinomycetes; Micrococcales; Micrococcaceae.
GAUGAACGCUGGCGGCGUGCUUAACACAUGCAAGUCGAACGAUAAAGCCCAGCUUGCUGGGUGGAUUAGUGGCGAACGGGUGAGUAACACGUGAGUAACCUGCCCUUGACUCUGGGAUAAGCCCGGGAAACUGGGUCUAAUACCGGAUAGGAGCGCCUGUCGCAUGGCGGGUGUUGGAAAGAUUUUUCGGUCAUGGAUGGACUCGCGGCCUAUCAGCUUGUUGGUGAGGUAAUGGCUCACCAAGGCGACGACGGGUAGCCGGCCUGAGAGGGUGACCGGCCACACUGGGACUGAGACACGGCCCAGACUCCUACGGGAGGCAGCAGUGGGGAAUAUUGCACAAUGGGCGGAAGCCCUGAUGCAGCG